Molecule: ribosomal RNA, 402 nt
Filed under: uncultured bacterium
Lineage: Bacteria
Description: bacterial SSU rRNA
Rfam family: Bacterial small subunit ribosomal RNA
Source: RNAcentral
UUGGGAAUUUUGCACAAUGGACGCAAGUCUGAUGCAGCAACGCCGCGUGCAGGAAGAAGGGUUUCGGCCUGUAAACUGCUUUUAUAGGGGAGUAAUUUUUGAAAGUACCCUAUGAAUAAGCACCGGCUAACUCCGUGCCAGCAGCCGCGGUAAUACGGAGGGUGCUAACGUUGUCCGGAAUUAUUGGGCGUAAAGAGCAUGUAGGUGGACCGGCAAGUGGGUAAUGAAAGACCGACGCUUAACGUCGGGCACGUGACCCAUACUACUGGUCUUGAGGAUGGCAGGGGUAAGCGGAACUUUAGGUGUAGGAGUGGAAUCCGUAGAUAUCUAAAGGAACACCAAUGGCGAAGGCAGCUUACUGGGCCAUUUCUGACACUGAGAUGCGAAAGCGUGGGGAGCGAA